AGUUUUUGGUUGACUUUGGUGUUGAACAGGUUGGGAAGCCUGACCGGAGUGCGUGAUAGUCGUGUAAGCGCGAGUUGACCUUUGCUUGGACUUGAUACCCGAGUAGCAGCGGGCUCGUGGAAUCUGCUGUGAAUCUGCCCAGACCACUGGGUAAGCCUAAAUACUACAAGGUGACCGAUAGUGCAUAGUACCGUGAGGGAAUGGUGAAAAGUACCCCGGGAGGGGAGUGAAAUAGUACCUGAAACCGGAUGCCUAUAAGCCGUCAGAGCCAGUCGCCCCUUUUUUUUGGGGUGUGGUGAUGGCGUGCCUUUUGAAGAAUGAGCCUGCGAGUUAGUGGUAUGUGGCAAGGUUAACCCGUGUGGGGGAUCCGUAGCGAAAGCGAGUCUUAACUGGGCGUUUUAGUCGCAUGCUCUAGACCCGAAGCGGGGUGAUCUACCCAUGGCCAGGUUGAAGCAGAGGUAAGACUCUGUGGAGGACCGCACCCACCUAGGUUGAAAACUGGGGGGAUGAGCUGUGGGUAGGGGUGAAAGGCCAAUCAAACUCCGUGAUAGCUGGUUCUCCCCGAAAUGCAUUUAGGUGCAGCGUCGUGUUUAUCCUGCUGGAGGUAGAGCUACUGGUUGGUUAAUGGGCCAUUGCGGUUACUGAGGUCAGCUAAACUCCGAAUGCCAGUUAGGUUAGUGCACGGCAGUGAGACUGCGGGGGAUAAGCUUCGUAGUCGAGAGGGAAACAGCCCAGAUCAUCGGCUAAGGCCCCUAAGGGUGUGCUGAGUGGGAAAGGAUGUGGAGUUGCAUAGACAACCAGGAGGUUGGCUUAGAAGCAGCCACCCUUGAAAGAGUGCGUAAUAGCUCACUGGUCAAGUGAUUCCGCGCCGACAAUGUAGCGGGGCUUAAGCACACCGCCGAAGCCAUGGCACUCACACUAUUAGGUGUGGGUGGGUAGGGGAGCGUCGCGUGUUGGGGUGAAGCUUGGGUGUAAACCCUGGUGGACUACACGCGAGUGAGAAUGCAGGCAUGAGUAACGAUUAGGCGGGUGAGAAUCCCGUCCGCCGAUUGACUAAGGGUUCCAGGGCUAGGUUUAUCCGCCCUGGGUUAGUCGGGUCCUAAGGCGAGGCCGACAGGCGUAGUCGAUGGACAACCAGUUGAUAUUCUGGUACCGGUGUUAGAUCGACAAAUACUAAUCCAUUAAAAGCACGAACGCAGUAAACAAUCCUUGUUUCUUCGGAAACAUGGUUUGGAGCUUGUCUUUGUGUGGCUGGUGGUGCGGUAAGCGUAUUAACAGGGGGGACGCAGAGUGGUAGCCCACGCUGGCCGGUGGUUGUGCCAGUUCAACGUCGCAGCCCGUUUCCUAGGCAAAUCCGGGAGACAUGAGGGUGAGGACGGAUAAAACAACACCUACAGUGUUGUUGUGGGGGAGCCUGAGCUGCCUAGAAAAGCCUCGACGCGAGAGCUAACACCGCCCGUACCCUAAACCGACACAGGUGGUCAGGUAGAGUAUACCGAGGCGUGCGAGUGAAUCAUGGUUAAGGAACUCGGCAAAAUGCCCCCGUAACUUCGGGAGAAGGGGGACCCCGCCCGGACACUCACGUCAACGUGAGACUGAUUUGGGAGGGGUCGCAGUGAAUAGGGAGAAGCGACUGUUUACUAAAAACAUAGGUGCGUGCGAAGCCGUAAGGCGAUGUAUACGCACUGACGCCUGCCCGGUGCUGGAAGGUUAAGCGGAAAGCUCAACACCCUCGGGUGUGAAGGUUUGAAGUUAAGCCCCAGUAAACGGCGGUGGUAACUAUAACCAUCCUAAGGUAGCGAAAUUCCUUGUCGGGUAAGUUCCGACCUGCACGAAUGGCGUAACGACUUCUCCGCUGUCUCAACCAUGAACUCGGUGAAAUUGCAAUACGAGUAAAGAUGCUCGUUUCGCGCAGCAGGACGGAAAGACCCCGGGACCUUUACUAUAGCUUGGUAUUGGUAGCCGGUUGUGUUUGUGUAGGAUAGGUGGGAGACUAUGAAACCCGCACGCCAGUGUGGGUGGAGUCAACGUUGAAAUACCACUCUGAUACAAACGGUUAUCUAACCCAGGUCCGUAAUCCGGAUCAGGGACAGUGCCUGGUGGGUAGUUUAACUGGGGCGGUUGCCUCCCAAAAAGUAACGGAGGCGCUCAAAGGUUCUCUCAGCCUGGUUGGUAAUCAGGUGUCGAGCGUAAGUGUAGAAGAGAGCUUGACUGCGACACUGACAGGUGAAGCAGGUACGAAAGUAGGAACUAGUGAUCCGGCCGUGGUUCGUGGAAACGCGGUCGCUCAACGGAUAAAAGGUACCCCGGGGAUAACAGGCUGAUCUUGCCCAAGAGUCCAUAUCGACGGCAUGGUUUGGCACCUCGAUGUCGGCUCGUCGCAUCCUGGGGCUGGAGUUGGUCCCAAGGGUUGGGCUGUUCGCCCAUUAAAGCGGUACGCGAGCUGGGUUUAGAACGUCGUGAGACAGUUCGGUCCCUAUCCGCUGCGCGCGCAGGAAACUUGAGAAGACCUGUCCCUAGUACGAGAGGACCGGGACGGACGAACCUCUGGUGUGCCAGUUGUACCGCCAGGUG
Molecule: ribosomal RNA, 2574 nt
Filed under: Gleimia coleocanis DSM 15436
Lineage: Bacteria; Bacillati; Actinomycetota; Actinomycetes; Actinomycetales; Actinomycetaceae
Description: bacterial LSU rRNA
Rfam family: Bacterial large subunit ribosomal RNA
Source: RNAcentral